UUUUACGUUUAGGUCCAAAAACGCUAAAGGACAAAUUGUUUUGAUCCUUUAAUGAAAUUUUUGCAUUGAUUAAAUUUUGGGUUCUAUUGUAAUUACAUGAAGUAGUGGACUUUUUGUGUCUUUACAAAGUGACCCCAAAAGUUUUGCAACAUAGCCCAAAAGUUGAGGUUAAUUGCUUAAUGACCCAAAUAAGUUGUGGUUAUUGCAUGAUGGCCUAAAUUAGGUUGAGAACAAAAUUGUUUUUGUCUCUUUAAAUGAGAAUUGGAUUUUCAUUUUGUUUAGCUCCAUUUAAAUCAAUUUUAUGGAUACAAAAACCAAAUGAAAAUGUUGCAUUCUUUUUAAUUAGUUAAAAGUGUUAAUUAAUUAAAGGGUGAUUAUGAACCUAAGCCUAAUAUAAUUGAGCUAUGUGAAAGGCCGUUUCAAAUUUGUUUGAACCAUGGGAAUGUGUAGAUUAAUUUUGGUUGUAAUUUGAUUUGAUCAAAUGUUGUAAAAGGGCAUAAGCUCUUCUUUACUUUAAAGUAAUUUGUU
This 528-nucleotide long non-coding RNA is filed under the name Malus domestica (apple). RNAcentral describes it as "long non-coding RNA (MDOM_LNC020388)". The record is from RNAcentral. Lineage: Eukaryota; Viridiplantae; Streptophyta; Magnoliopsida; Rosales; Rosaceae.